CUGCCGCGCCGGCUGCGGGAUGCGGCGCUGAGCCUGCCCCGCUGGCGUCUCUGCCCGGCCGCGCUGCGGAGCGAGCGGGCUCCUCCCUGCCCGCCUGCCGCCCGCAGCCCAUGAUGUGCCUGGAGAGCGGCGGCUCCGCGGCCGGCAGCCCGGGCUGCAGCGGGCGGCUCCGAGCCGGCGACGAGGAGGAGGAGGAGGAGGGCGAGCGGGGCUGCUGCGGCCGGAGCGCCGAGGGCGAGGUGCAGACCCUGUCGGGCAGGAUGAACCCCCCGCCCGCGGGCAAGAGCCCCGAGCGCCUGGCCCCCCGCCACAAGCCCCCCAGCCUGGGCAGGGCCCGGGUCGCGGCCGCCGGCAUCCUCAGCGUGGGCAACGUGCUCAACUACCUGGACAGGUACACGGUGGCAGGUGUAUUACUAGACAUCCAGCAGCACUUUGGAGUUAAAGACAGUGGGGCUGGCUUGCUACAGACAGUUUUCAUCUGUAGUUUCAUGGUGGCAGCACCUAUAUUUGGUUACCUUGGUGACCGCUUCAACAGGAAGAUCAUCCUCAGCUGUGGGAUCUUCUUCUGGUCAGCUAUCACCUUUUCAAGCUCCUUCAUCACUGAGCAAUAUUUCUGGCUCCUCGUCCUUUCACGAGGUUUGGUCGGCAUCGGUGAAGCCAGUUAUUCCACCAUCGCUCCCACCAUCAUAGGAGACCUUUUCACCAAAAACACCAGAACCCUCAUGCUGUCUGUCUUCUACUUUGCAAUCCCUCUUGGCAGUGGUUUGGGAUACAUCACUGGAUCAAGCGUGAAGCAAGUAGCAGGAGACUGGCAUUGGGCAUUGCGGGUAUCUCCACUCCUAGGCAUGAUAACGGGGACACUCAUCUUGAUAUUUGUACCUGCUGCUAAAAGAGGCAACGUGGAACAGCUGGGGGGACAGCUGAAGGCUCGGACUUCAUGGCUAAGAGACAUGAAGGCACUGAUCAGAAACCGCAGCUAUGUGUUCUCAUCGCUGGCCACGUCUGCCGUUUCCUUUGCCACAGGGGCACUGGGCAUGUGGAUUCCCCUCUACCUUCACAGGGCACAAGUUGUGCAGAAAACUGUUGAGACUUGCAGUUCGGAGCCCUGCGGCACAAAGGACAGUUUGAUCUUCGGAGCAAUCACGUGCUUCACUGGUUUUCUGGGCGUGAUCACAGGGGCUGGGGCAACCAAAUGGUGCCGGUUAAAAACCCAGCGAGCUGACCCCCUGGUCUGUGCCGUCGGCAUGCUAGGGUCAGCCAUCUUCAUCUGUCUGAUCUUCGUUGCUGCCAAGAGCAGCAUUGUGGGAGCCUAUAUUUGCAUUUUUAUUGGAGAAACUCUUCUGUUUUCAAACUGGGCAAUCACAGCUGACAUACUAAUGUACGUGGUUAUCCCGACACGACGCGCGACCGCUGUGGCCUUGCAGAGCUUCACUUCGCACCUGCUGGGAGAUGCUGGCAGCCCCUACCUGAUUGGAUUCAUCUCAGACCUGAUACGACAAAGCACAAAGGAGUCACCGCUGUGGGAGUUCCUCAGCCUGGGCUACGCACUCAUGCUCUGCCCGUUUGUCGUCGUCCUCGGAGGGAUGUUUUUCCUGGCCACGGCCCUCUUCUUUCUAAAUGACCGCACCAAAGCUGAACAACAUAAGGAAACCGAUUCAGAUCACUGUUGGCAACUACAGUAACUCAGAAGACGCUUCCACAUGACACACGGUUUUGGGGGUGAAUCAACUGAUGAUGCCACCAGCCACUGUGAAAGUCUGAGACGUUGCCAUUAUGGAUGAUGAAGGAAACGCUGCGUGGACUCCAGCUCCCACAACCACCACUCCAACCUCCUGCUAGGAAACCCCAGCACUGGACACAACCAAAAGUUCCAGCUCCGGGAUGCAUUUGGAGUCUUAUCGAGUGCUAAACCAAUCACUUCACUCUAACCAGCUGCAGGAUCAGGGUCAAAGACAUGAAUGAGGAUGGCCUAGAUAUCAGGGGUCCUAAGCCUAAGGAUAUUGUAGGGUUUCCCCACAUUGCUGGCUGUCAACAGCGAGUGUCCGAAGAGCCCACAACCACGCUACCCCUGUGAGUGACUGUACAUUGUGUAUACAGUUUUAGGUUUAGGCAGUGAAGAAGUCUGUGUUGCACACAGGGCAUCUUCCGUCCUAUUAAAUGCUACCAGUUCUGUCAGCCAGAGACUAUGCUAGAUGGGGACCUUUUCUGUACAUCACAGCUUUACAAAUUGAAGGCUCAAGCCAGAUUUUUCAUUAUUAUUUAAACAAGUCAGAGGAUGCUUUAUGUUCAUAAAAUAGAGAUUUGAUAGAGUUGUAUUUAAACUGUGAGCAUCUCGAAAGGCCCAUGCACCUGUACUGGAUGUGAAAGCUUCCACUGUAUUGCAGCAUCUGUCCCCAAGAGGGCUCCAAGGAACAUUCAGAAAGGAUGGCACAGAUGUUCAAGCAACAGCAUCCUGCUUAAGGAAGUACCGGAGGAGCUAGCAUGGAGAUCUGUCUCUUAUUCCUGAUCAGCUGGAAGGAGGAGAAAUCUCUCCCAGCACAAGGUGUUCUUUGGGAUUGUUACAGAUGAGCUAGGAAAAGCACGGUCAGUGAUAUCUGGUGGCUUCCAGUUUUGUUUAACAUACUUAGUUUCAGUUCCAGGUAGAAGGUGGUUUACAGAAUACCAAAAUCCAGAGAUUAAUUGCUUUGUGGAAUCUGGUAUUGCUGCCCUUAUGUGCCACUGAUGAGCCGUCUUUGUUUACAUGCAUAUAAUGUUCAUCAUUAAGCAUGUUGCAAAUAUGAAUAAUUUUUUCCAGUAUUUUCAGGCACAUUUAUGAUGUCAAAGCUUUGUUUCGAUCCAGCAACUGCAUUGAAAGAAGAAUUUUUAGAUUCAAUGCACACCCCGUUCCCCCUCCCCACCGUUCUACUGUUCUGGUUUGCUCCCUCCCAUGGGAGUGACUAUAUUACUUAAGUUCACUUUGAUCUUUACAGAAAUGCUACUGGGAUUUUCUUUUUAAUACACUGGUCUAAACUGAGUUAGUAAGAAGUGAGCCUUUCUUAGCUGAUUUUGAUGAACAAAGGGGUCUUGUUUCUUGCAGUUGACAUUCAAGGAUAAAAUGUACACGAUGCCAGCAUGGAUUGUAGUACAGCUGUGAGAGCAAUGAAGUGCUAACAGCUCCAGAAAAAAUGUCCGCUUGCCCACUCACCUUAUUUUCCUGCUUGGGAGAAAACUCUGUUAGGCCUCCACAUCAUUGUAGGCCUCAGACCUUCUCAACCAGUCCAGCAGAACACACUUCCUUCAAACUGUGGCCAGGGCUGGAUUGGAAACAAUACUAAAUUAGCAAAGGCAUUACCAACACUGGGAUAGUUUUAAUAAUAGCAUAAACUCAUCAGUGUUUUUGAGAUCAUGGAGCCAUUGAUUAAUUGGCUAAUGUCUCCAUCCUUUCAAGCAGUGCUGGAGUGACUGCAUAUCUGCAUUAAAUAAUCAGAGUCCACCCCAAUUUAAAAUGCUUCAGGUCUUUUCACUUUCACACUCGACAUUGAAGGGAGGCAGCUGUGAUCUGCAGUGAAAACACAAGAGAGGGCAGAUACUUCCAGUUACCAGCAGUGUGGUCAAACCAGACAGACCAGAAAUAUCUGUUGUUAAUCCCCUUGGAAUUAAGGAGACCAGCUCUUAACUGUAGUUGGGGCUAGGAGGUGGUUUAUCUGGGAUAACCUACCGGAGGAAUGAGAGCAAUACAAGCCUUCACGCUGGCGAACAGUAAUGCUAGAGAAACUAGCAUUGCCUAGAUUACCUUAAAUGGAGAGGUUAGUGACCCUACAUGUUUUCUAAAACAAAUCUCACAAGAUGUUGUUUUAAUUUCUUCUAAACUGUGGAAAUAAGGAUUAAAGGGCUGUUAUGGAAGUGCCCUAUAGAAUUCUGCAAAGGCUUCUUUUCACUAAACUACUCUUAAAGGGUGGUUUUGUUUUGGUUUUUUUUAAAGUAGUUCUUAUAGGCUGAGCAACCAAUUGGAGACAGAAGCCCCACCCCCAGGAGAACAGUGAAUGCGCUUCUGUGUCACUAAAAUAAUAAGCAAAGCAAGUUCAGAACAAUGCUUCAUUUCCCAUCUCAUACUGUUAUUAACAUUACUUGGAGAAAAUGUCAACUCUGCAGUCUGGCAGCCAAAGGCCUGAGUUAGAAGCACAUGAAUUUUUUGUGCUUCUCAUUAAGAUGUUCUCCGUUAAUUUAUGUAAAACAUAAACAACAAUUAGUCACUUGAUCUCAGAGGCUAAGGGAAAAUUAGCUGAAUUUCCUAAAUUAUUAUUUGAAGUACUUUGUCUUAGAAGUUACCGCACUUACUCUCAAGAGCAGAACUUUGGCAUUUACUGAGAUUUUAUUCCCAUAAAUUUGCAAUGGAAAGAGCCGAUAAAUACCCCUUCAUUUGACAGCAUUUUCUAUUUUACAACAACUUCAUCUCCUUGGUGGGAAGGGCUGACCUCACUUCCUAUGAAAAAAGGCCCAGUUCAGCCAUGGAUAGGCAAAUGGAGAAUUAGUUCCAGUCCCCACACACCAAUGACCCUUCACUGAUUGAUUUCUUCUCCAUUUGGAGGAGGUAGAGUAGCCAGCCAUGAGAACUAAGGGAGGGGAAGGAGCAGGGAAUUUGGAACCCCCAUCCUGAGGCUGCCACUUCCCCGUGACAGACCAUGAUCCAUGUUCAGCCACCCGAAGAGAUGAAGGUAUUUUUUUAAGUUGUAGCUACAUAUUUCUAUUCCGAGAUGGAAUUUUUCAAGGGUUGUUCUAUUAGAGCUUCUAUUAAAUAUUUAUUCUCUUAGAAAGAAACCGGAUAAUUGGGAUAAAAGGGGUAAGACAAUAACAAAGCUAUAAGUCAAGUCAAGCUUUCCAACCACUCUCAGAAGAGAGAUUUGAAAAACACUACUAAGAGGUGGUGGCCGGGUACAACCUACCUUCUGCUGUAACAUUCUGGGUGUCUGCUAGUGCCCACUCCCUCUGGUGAGGCUGCAUAUUCCUGUUGACAGGAAGAGUGAGGUUCCAGGCCCAGCUCUGCCACUUGGACUGCAGGCAAGUCACUACGUCUCUGCUUGUUUCUUCAGCUGUAAAAUGGAGAGACUUGACCUGUGAGGCACUGUCUCAAUGAAGUAUGCUCUUCCCUACCACCCUCUCGAACAUCCAAUUCCAGUAUUCUGGUGCAGCGUGCCAAACGCUAGUGUUACUCUGUAGUACUAGGGUAGGGUCCCUAGUAGUUAGUUUUGACAAAGCUAUUAUGAGUUUUACCCACAGAAGUGCUUCAGGAAAAGUCAUCUAGAAACAGAGAAUGUGGUGAAUGUUGUUUUGCACCACAAUCCAGAUUGUUUAAUAGGAUCUUGUCACUUAACAGCUAGAACCACGGGCUUAUUAUUUAAUAUACACAGCAGAAGUGUCUUGUGGGUAUCUGCACUUGCUGGCGUAAUGGGGAGAGGGAGGAUAUGAAGGUAGAAUUAGAGUGAAGCUGGUGGAAGGAGAGACCAUUUCAUUUCUGUAUUUAGGCCACAAAAUGUAGGAUUGUAGAGCUAUCAACUCCACUUGAAAACACACCUCAGUGUAAUUGUUAGAGGGGCCACAAUUAAAGAUCUACCUUAAGAGACUUCAUCUAUUAGCACCCAUCACAAAAGAGAAGCAAGGCUUGGGUUGAUUAUUUGUAAGCAAAAUGUGGUUCAGUGCAUUAGACUUAAGUCUUUAAUUUAAAUGCUCCUGGGAGCAUCUGUAAGGCUACUGUCCUCUUACCUUCUCUGCCCCCCCCCCCACCACCACCACCAAAAAAAACCCAAACAAACUGCAUUGUUGAUAACUAGUGAAUAGUCUAGUAAAACCUUAGAGCAGUUAAAACAGUCUGAAUGGAAGGGGGGGUUGGUGAACUUUCCCCCUCUUUCCCGUAUGCACAGAGCACCUGAGGUGAGGUGAUCAAUGCUAGGGGCAAGCAUACACUGUGUACCUUUUGUCCAGGUUUAGCCCACGCUACUGUUAAGUCCAUCCUUCUCCCUCAGUGCUCCUCAGAAAUCCCUAAUUUCACCUUCUUUCAGCACCUGUGAUGUUUUGCUGCAAGACACCUGCUCCCUUAGUGCAAUAGUCUGUGGUUACCCUGGUAUAUUAAGUGUAAUGGCACUCUGCAUAAAUGGGUAGGGUAAAGUUUACAGAGAGCUGGGGAGGCUGCAGGGUGCCUUCAGCAAAACCAGAUUGUUACAGCAGAUUGCAAGAGUUUCCUUAUACAUCACUUCAUCUUAAAAGCAUUUACCUUGUGCCACUGCAACACCAAAUAAGUAUUCACAUCCUGCAGCCUUUACUCUCAUAGCUGAGGGUUUGGUAAAAUCUACAGGACUGCUUACCUGAGUGAAGCUUGAAGUACUGGGCCAGCAUCCUCUAAUCUCAGUCAAACCUCAGAGUGAGACAAACUAGUGAUGGAGACAUAAACAAACUCUAUGUAGACUGGAAUGCUAAGGUUGUCUCACUUUCCCCCACAUCCUAGUUAUUUGGUUUCUUCUCUAUUUGCUUUAUUGUUUUGUAAACCAGCACUUGCAAUCACUUUUACUAUGUGAGGUAUGGGAGUAUAUUGUACAUUUUCUUGUUAUACAAGGGAGGAGUAUAAAAUAGUUUUCUGAUUUCUUUCAGAAGCAAAUGGCUAUUUUAUUUUUUAAGAGCAACUGAUUGUCAGUCUCAGAGUAUAAAGAAAAAUAAAGCCAAAUAUAUACCUUUAUGUAAAUUAAGAAAUAAAAGUAUUUAAAACAUA
Molecule: RNA transcript, 6739 nt
Organism: Caretta caretta (loggerhead turtle)
Lineage: Eukaryota; Metazoa; Chordata; Testudines; Cheloniidae
Gene: SPNS2
Gene name: SPNS lysolipid transporter 2, sphingosine-1-phosphate
Source: RefSeq, a predicted model, not a curated record